AUUGAACGCUGGCGGAAUGCCUUACACAUGCAAGUCGAACGGCAGCAUGGGAGCAAUCCUGGUGGCGAGUGGCGAACGGGUGAGUAAAUACAUCGGAACGUGCCCAAUCGUGGGGAUAACGUAGCGAAAAGCUACGCUAAUACCGCAUACGAUCUACGGAUGAAAGCAGGGGGAUCGCAAGACCUUGCGCGAAAUGGAGCGGCCGAUGGCAGAUUAGGUAGUUGGUGGGGUAAAGGCUCACCAAGCCUUCGAUCUGUAGCUGGUCUGAGAGGACGACCAGCCACACUGGGACUGAGACACGGCCCAGACUCCUACGGGAGGCAGCAGUGGGGAAUUUUGGACAAUGGGCGCAAAGCCUGAUCCAGCCAUUCCGCGUGCAGGAUGAAGGCCUC
RNAcentral lists this ribosomal RNA (392 nucleotides) under uncultured bacterium. Its description in RNAcentral is "bacterial SSU rRNA". It matches the Rfam family "Bacterial small subunit ribosomal RNA", at positions 30 to 418 of the family's 1533-position model. The record is from RNAcentral.